AUCAUUCACCAGGGGUGCCCCGGCAAGGGGCUGAGAUUCUGCUGGCUUUCGCAGCGCAGUGACCCGUUGAACCUGAUCCAGUUCAUACUGGCGUAGGGACGGUGCGAGCGCUCGACG
Molecule: non-coding RNA, 117 nt
Filed under: Rhizobium sp.
Lineage: Bacteria; Pseudomonadati; Pseudomonadota; Alphaproteobacteria; Hyphomicrobiales; Rhizobiaceae
Also listed under: 1 other name
Description: TPP sequence
Rfam family: TPP riboswitch aptamer (THI element)
About the family: Vitamin B(1) in its active form thiamin pyrophosphate (TPP) is an essential coenzyme that is synthesised by coupling of pyrimidine and thiazole moieties in bacteria.
Source: RNAcentral